This 756-nucleotide long non-coding RNA is filed under the name Capra hircus (goat). RNAcentral describes it as "lncRNA (ENSCHIG00010030263.1)". Lineage: Eukaryota; Metazoa; Chordata; Mammalia; Artiodactyla; Bovidae. The record is from RNAcentral.
CACCUGCCCACCCCAGCACUCUUUCCCUGAAGUGGUCAUCUGCUACCCCCCACCCUGGUACUGUGAGUGGUUAGCACACAUCACAGAGGUCUAGCAUCAUGCCCCCAAAGGGAACUGCUUCCUGGGUGCCCCCACCAGCCUGUUCCUCUGAGGCAGGCACCCCCUGCCCUAUUCCCUCACCCAGGUAGCCUGCCUUGGCCUGGCCCCAGGAGUUCAACCCACCAAGACCUGAAGACAAGAUGGACCAAGGAGUAGUGGUCCCUGACGUGUCUGAUGGCCAGACACCAUCUACACCAGGACUGUUUUGAAAGUGGAAGGGGUUCUAAUAAGCUGGAAAACAGGCCUAAACCCAGACUUCCCACCAAAGAACAAAUGGUCACCCUACUGAUCAGGUUUCCCUGCUCUGAACGGGCCUUUGGUGUCAAGCCCCAGGCUUUCUGGCUCCUUGGGCCCAACCCCCCAAAUCAUGGCUGCCUGGAUCUGAGUAGAAAAGCAAGCCUCCACCCUGCCUUCCAUCCCAACCUUGCCAAGUCUUCCCUCUCUAGGCCCUUCUGUAGCUCAAGGCCAGGGAGAAAUGAACCACCAAUUCCCCCAUCCCUACUCAUGGUCAGUGCAAAGCACUCUGUUCUGGUAUCUUCCCCACUUCUGCCUACAUAUUCCUCGUCCCACCUCACUGUGGCUUUCAUACCAGCAACCCCAGGUAUCACCUCUGGAUUGGCAACUGGUGGACAGGUGGAAGCUGAGAUCAACCUGUAG